Molecule: unclassified non-coding RNA, 384 nt
Filed under: Hevea brasiliensis (rubber tree)
Lineage: Eukaryota; Viridiplantae; Streptophyta; Magnoliopsida; Malpighiales; Euphorbiaceae
Source: RNAcentral
GUCUGAUUCCUAAUCAAUGCCAAUAGACAUAAAUACAACUCAUGUGAAGAAUUUAGCACCUAGCUGAAAUUGGCAUAUUCACAUUUCAAAUGACAAGUUUAUCUAGACUGCACAAAUUCCUUAAACACCCAUAGUGAACUAACACUUACAGUUAUACUGUCAGAUACAAAUAAACAGGUAUAGCUAGCAUGAGGCAAACAGUACCAUUUCAUUCACCACUCAAUGCUUUUCUUCACAUUGAUUGAUGAACUUUGCAUCUGUUACUGCUAUUUUUUUUAAUGUGUUUCCAUGGAAAAAGACCACAAAAGUUUGAUUCAAAUGGGCAAGUAUUUCAUUUAGAAUCUUAAUCUACAAUUUAGAUGGCCUUGCACAGUGCAUGAUCCA